AUGGGCUGCGUGUGCGGCCGCCCCGCGGCCAUCGACGACGGCCGGUGCGUCCAGACGCCCCCGCCGGCGGGGAAGCUCUCGGCGGCGGGAGCGGCGGUGCCGAGGAGGGAGGAGGAGGCGCGGAAGCAGGCGCGGGCGCGGGAUGAGGCGCUGGAGAGGAGGCGGGCGGCCGCGAUGGCCAUGGCGGCGUGCCAGGUGCGGAGCCCCGUGCCGAGGGCGCUGGAGGCGGAGCAGGUGGCGGCCGGGUGGCCGCCGUGGCUCGCCUCCGUCGCCGCCGAGGCCGUGCGCGGCUGGGUGCCGCGCCGCGCCGAGUCCUUCGAGAAGCUCGACAAGAUUGGUCAGGGAACAUACAGUAAUGUCUACAGAGCUCGUGAUCUUGAAAAACAGAAGAUUGUUGCUCUAAAGAAAGUACGCUUUGAUAAUUUGGAGCCCGAGAGUGUGAAAUUCAUGGCCAGAGAAAUCCUCAUUUUGCGACGGCUUGAUCAUCCAAAUAUUAUUAAGCUGGAGGGUCUCGUAACUUCGAGGAUGUCUUGUAGCUUAUAUCUUGUUUUUGAGUACAUGGAGCACGACCUAGCUGGCCUAGCUUCUUUUCCUGGACUAAAAUUGACCGAGCCUCAGGUUAAAUGUUACAUGCAACAGUUACUCCGAGGCCUUGAGCAUUGUCAUAGUCGUCACAUUCUGCACCGUGACAUUAAGGGUUCCAAUCUCUUGAUUGAUAACCGAGGCAUACUGAAGAUAGCUGAUUUUGGCUUAGCAAGUUUCUUUGAUCCUGAACAAAGGCACCCUUUGACUAGUCGUGUGGUCACACUUUGGUAUAGACCGCCAGAACUUCUGCUUGGUGCCACGAAUUAUGGCGUUGCUGUAGAUCUGUGGAGUACUGGCUGCAUUCUUUCUGAGCUAUAUGCUGGCAAGCCUAUUAUGCCUGGUAGAACAGAGGUUGAGCAGUUACAUAAAAUAUUUAAACUCUGUGGUUCGCCAUCAGAGGACUAUUGGAGGAAGUCUAAACUUCCCCAUGCAACCAUUUUUAAGCCACAGCAUCCAUAUCCAAGGCGUGUUACAGACACAUUUAAAGACUUUCCUUCACCUGCUCUAGCAUUAGUAGAUGUUCUUCUUUCAGUAGACCCAGCUGAGCGACGGACAGCAUCUUCUGCGUUGCAAAGUGAGUUUUUUACAACAAAACCAUAUGCUUGCAAUCCUUCAAGUCUGCCAAGAUAUCCCCCCAGCAAAGAGUAUGAUGCAAAACGCCGAGAGGAGGAAGGUCGAAGGCAAGGUACUGCUGGAGGAAAGCAACAUCCUGAAAGACGAACUAGAGAGUCAAAAGCAGUCCCUGCACCUGAUGCAAAUGCAGAACUAGUGUCAUCUUUGCAGAAAAGGCAAGCCCAAGCCAAUACCAAGAGCAGGAGUGAGAUGUUCAAUCCUUGCAAGGAAGACUCUGCAUCUGGAUUUCCAAUUGAACCACCCAGUUCAACUCACAUCAUUGAAUCGUCGGAGGACUCCAAACGCGUCUACCCAACGAGAACCUUCCAUUCUGGGCCUUUAGUUAACCCGUCAAAGACUGGAACGAGCAAACAUGGCGAACAUCAUGUACGUGCCGUUGCGGAUCCCCGGAAUUUCCCUGUGGUCGUAUCAGCAAAAUCAGAUGCGCGUCCGGAUGAUAGCAAUGGGAUCGGGUUUACUCAAGCUGAAGCAUUUGCUCAUGGACGGAGGCUGUCUGAAUCUAUCAACGGGCACUUCAGUGGUAGCGGGAAGUACGACCAAGUAUUCCAGCAGAAAGAGGACAAGAGCGGCGGCAGGGUGGAUGGAGGAGCUAUUGGCUACGGAUCCAAAGGCAACAAGAUCCACCACUCGGGGCCUCUGACCUCCUGCCCCUCGGGCAACGUCGACGAGAUGCUCAAGGAGAACGACCGGCAAAUCCAGGAGGUUUUCCGGCGAACCCGGGUGGAGAAGUCCCGGGUGAGGAGGGCCCAUGGGCACGGGCACGCCGGAGAGGCCGGGCUACGGGACUUCGGCGCCGUCCCGGUCUUCCCUUCCAGCCGCUCCAGCUACCGAGCCGCGCCCCAGUGA
RNAcentral lists this ribosomal RNA (2064 nucleotides) under Triticum aestivum (bread wheat). RNAcentral's name for it is "partial small subunit ribosomal RNA". The record is from RNAcentral. Lineage: Eukaryota; Viridiplantae; Streptophyta; Magnoliopsida; Poales; Poaceae.